Molecule: ribosomal RNA, 468 nt
Filed under: uncultured bacterium
Lineage: Bacteria
Description: partial 16S ribosomal RNA
Rfam family: Bacterial small subunit ribosomal RNA
Source: RNAcentral
AACGAACGCUGGCGGCGUGCUUAACACAUGCAAGUCGAACGGCAAGGCCCUGCUUUUUUGGGGUUCUCGAGUGGCGAACGGGUGAGUAACACGUGAGUAACCUGCCCUUGACUUUGGGAUAACUUCAGGAAACUGGGGCUAAUACCGGAUAGGAUCUCCUGCUGCAUGGUGGGGGUUGGAAAGUUUCGGCGGUGGGGGAUGGACUCGCGGCUUAUCAGCUUGUUGGUGGGGUAGUGGCUUACCAAGGCUUUGACGGGUAGCCGGCCUGAGAGGGUGACCGGCCACAUUGGGACUGCGAUACGGCCCAGACUCCUACGGGAGGCAGCAGUGGGGAAUAUUGCACAAUGGGAGGAAGCCUGAUGCAGCAACGCCGCGUGCGUGAUGACGGCCUUCGGGUUGUAAACCGCUUUCGCCUGUGACGAAGCGUGAGUGACGGUAAUGGGUAAAGAAGCACCGGCUAACUACGUG